UUUCUCUGUAAGAAAGAAUUGCUCCCUGCACAGCUGAUGUCUAAGAGAGGCUGUGUCCUGAUGACAAGAUUCAGAAAGGUCGUGUAAAUUAUACUGAGAUGAAGAAGGCCUUCUACUUCUAUCUGCAAAGCCUCAGCCAAUGGAUCUGCCUGAAGUUUCCAAGAUGGCAUCACCUGUAAGAGAGAAAAAAUGUCAUUGAAUGGAGGAGAUGCUGAUUUCUAUGUGAGUGGACAUGAGAACAGAGAGUGCUUUGUGGCUGAAACUCAGUUAACUGGAAACCUCGGGAAUUGCAAAUUUUACAUGACUGUGGUUCAGUGGAUUGGAGUCUUGCGCUGAUAACUCAGAGAUAAAUGACUAGAUCCUGGUUUGGUAGCUGGUGCUGGAAAACAUGACCCUCUUCAUGGACUGAUGCUAUACAGACUCUGGUUGCCCUGGAGGAGGCCAUAUCCCUCACUAGCUUGUGCUGUGCUGGAAUUAAACUAACUGGCAAGGCUGACAGUGGGAGGAAAAGCAUGCUGUUUGUGCAGUGGUGUUGUUCCUACUGAUCUGUUAAACAAAAGCCUGCUUUUAAAAUAUUUUCCUUGUCUGAAGUCGAGUUUGCUCCAAGCAUGAGAAAAUGGUGAGCCUUUUGAUGUGCCAAUUGACUGCUAUUGUCAAUGUCUGAAUUUCUUAGAUUUCUUAGUAUUGAUUUAACGAAAUCCCUUGACAGCCUGGGUUUUAUCUCUUCCUGAUGACAUUCUGUCUCUUUUCUACUCAAAGAAAUGGCAGGUGUAUUAUAUACAGUAUCAUCAAUUUAUACUUCACAGCCAUUUAUCAGCUCCUGCUCUUCCUCAAAUUCUCUAUUUAUUGAUGUACUUAAGGACCAUGUUAUUCAGACAUUUCUUCUCAAUGAAAUGCAAAGAUUUGGUUUAAAGCAGGCUAUAGCUGAAACAUGGCGUUCAUCAAACAGUAACAUCUUUGUCAAACUUCAACAGAAUUAACCUUUACUGCCAAGGAAGUUUUGACUUCCA
Long non-coding RNA from Mauremys reevesii (Reeves's turtle), 1010 nucleotides. RefSeq lists it as uncharacterized. The record is from RefSeq and is a predicted model, not a curated record. NCBI's taxonomy places the organism in Eukaryota, Metazoa, Chordata, Testudines, Geoemydidae. The transcript has 3 exons.